UACGGAGGGAGCUAGCGUUGUUCGGAUUCACUGGGCGUAAAGGGUGCGCAGGUGGGUUUGCAAGUUCGAUGUGAAAGCCCCGGGCUUAACCCGGGAAUGGCAUUGGAUACUGCAGAUCUGGAGGAUUGGAGGGGGGACUGGAAUUCUUGGUGUAGCAGUGAAAUGCGUAGAUAUCAAGAGGAACACCAGUGGCGAAGGCGAGUCCCUGGACAAUUCCUGACACUGAGGCACGAAAGCUAGGGGAGCAAACAGG
RNAcentral lists this ribosomal RNA (253 nucleotides) under uncultured bacterium. RNAcentral's name for it is "partial 16S ribosomal RNA". It matches the Rfam family "Bacterial small subunit ribosomal RNA", at positions 524 to 776 of the family's 1533-position model. The record is from RNAcentral.